GUACAACGAGUCGCAAGCUCGCGAGAGUAAGCUAAUCUCUUAAAGCCGUUCUCAGUUCGGACUGUAGGCUGCAACUCGCCUACACGAAGUCGGAAUCGCUAGUAAUCGCGGAUCAGCAUGCCGCGGUGAAUACGUUCCCGGGCCUUGUACACACCGCCCGUCACACCAUGGGAGUUUGUAACGCCCAAAGUCGGUGGCCUAACCUUUAUGGAGGGAGCCGCCUAAGGCGGGACAGAUGACUGGGGUGAAGUCGUAACAAGGUACC
This 265-nucleotide ribosomal RNA is filed under the name uncultured bacterium. RNAcentral describes it as "partial 16S ribosomal RNA". It matches the Rfam family "Bacterial small subunit ribosomal RNA", at positions 1237 to 1500 of the family's 1533-position model. The record is from RNAcentral.